This 505-nucleotide ribosomal RNA is filed under the name uncultured bacterium. RNAcentral describes it as "bacterial SSU rRNA". It matches the Rfam family "Bacterial small subunit ribosomal RNA", at positions 27 to 514 of the family's 1533-position model. The record is from RNAcentral.
GGAUGAACGCCGGCGGCGUGCCUAAUACAUGCAAGUCGAGCGAACAGAUAAGGAGCUUGCUCCUUUGACGUUAGCGGCGGACGGGUGAGUAACACGUGGGUAACCUACCUAUAAGACUGGAAUAACUCCGGGAAACCGGGGCUAAUGCCGGAUAAUAUUUAGAACCGCAUGGUUCUAAAGUGAAAGAUGGUUUUGCUAUCACUUAUAGAUGGACCCGCGCCGUAUUAGCUAGUUGGUGGGGUAAUGGCUUACCAAGGCAACGAUACGUAGCCGACCUGAGAGGGUGAUCGGCCACACUGGAACUGAGACACGGUCCAGACUCCUACGGGAGGCAGCAGUAGGGAAUCUUCCGCAAUGGGCGAAAGCCUGACGGAGCAACGCCGCGUGAGUGAUGAAGGUCUUCGGAUCGUAAAACUCUGUUAUUAGGGAAGAACAAAUGUGUAAGUAACUGUGCACGUCUUGACGGUACCUAAUCAGAAAGCCACGGCUAACUACGUGCCAGCAG